GAUGGACUUCUUUACUGAAUUUGGUGAUAAUUCAUGAAGUCAUUGUCAUAAGGAGUUACACUGUUUUUUGUUCAGAUAUUGACCAACAUAUUGGUGAGAAGGUUGCAAUAAAGAAGACACACUAUCUUUGAGCACUUAUCUGAUGCUGCCCGGAUUCUCCUUCAGAUCAAAUUACACUGGCCAUUGAGACAUCCUAAAAUACUUGAGAUCAUGCAUAUAAUGUUACCACUAUCGAGCAGGGACUUCAAGGAUAUUAUGUUCUCUUUGAGUUGAUGAAUGCAGACCUCCACAAAUUCAUCGAGGUCAAUAAUGAAUUAACCAAAGAGCACCAUCUAUUAUCUCGAUCUGAUGCUAUACUCACUCAAAUUUAUUCAUAUUGAUACUAUACUUUUUUUUUCAAGUUGAAAACCGAGCUACUAUACAGUUUUCCAUUAUCUUGUUAUAAUCUUUCUUAUGUAUCUAUGCGCAUUUCUUUUUGUAUCCACGCUUCAGUAUUUAUGCUUUCAUACACUAAAUUAGGAGCAUAAUACAUAAUUUGGAGCAGUGCACUCACACAUAUUGACGAGUUCCUUUUCUAUUUAGAACGUGUACAUAUUCUCAACAGUGUGCUUUUCUGUGCAUUAUUCAUCAGCAGCAAAUCGAGCCUCUAGAAUAUGAACGCCGAGCUUUGGGAUCCGAGCAUGUGCAUCAACUCAACGCUGUUGAGAAAUGAGAUGACCAACUCAGUUCUGCUAUCGACAAGCCAAGUGCUGAUGAGGAUUGUCAUUUUCUCGAUGUUGUCAGUCCUAUGAAUUGCAUCGUAAAUGGCCUUGGAGAUGAGGCUAUUGCUACAGACAUUGAUGCAGAGGACAUGGUCAUGGUGGCAAAUCGCCAAUUUCAAAGAGUUGAUCAGCCUUGAGCACCUAAGGAGCUUGACCAUGGAUGGCUUUGGUACGUAGAGGUGUUGUCACCUGCAUGGUCGUUAUUACCUUUUCCUUUCUUUGAUGAUUUGUAAAUUCCUCCAUGCAAAUUACCAUUUUAGUUUUUAUGCCAUUAUUCCACUUUUGUGCACUUUUUAGGUUUUAUGCCAUUUUUCCAGGUUUGGAGAAGCCAUUAAAAAAAUCUACAGCUUCAAAAAAUGUUUAAGCACAGAGCAUACUAGAGGAUGUAGGUAGUCAUGUUACAAGGAGCACCUUAUUUUAGUUCUUCAGUCUUUCUUCAGAUUCAUUGUGUUUUUUAUAAAUGUAUAUUUGAAAUCA
Long non-coding RNA from Lolium perenne, 1238 nucleotides. RefSeq lists it as uncharacterized. Lineage: Eukaryota; Viridiplantae; Streptophyta; Magnoliopsida; Poales; Poaceae. The record is from RefSeq and is a predicted model, not a curated record.